AUGGACUGGGAAGCCUGGUGUGCUGCAGUCCACGGGGGUCACAAAGAGUUGGACAGGAUUGAGCGAUUGAAGGAACUGAACUGAAAAACGCGGGCGCCUCGGCGGCGGGGGUGGGGGUUGGGCAUGAAUGGCGGAGGAGGGCGGAAGGCCUCCGACCCGCCCGCGACCCCCGGGGCGCCUUGAGGGCGUGGGAACUACCAAUCCCGGCGUGCUCCGGGUCGGCGCGGGCGCGCGGUGGGCAGCUGUUGGCUAGACCGGUUUGUUGCCUGGGUUGCGGAGAUGGGCUCUGCGGGCGGUGGCAAAUCCGGCGUUGCCUGAUGGCGCCUCUGACACGAAGCUGGGUGGGGUAAAGAGUAGAGGGCGGUAGUUGCGGCAGGUGGGAGAAGGAAGAGGCGGCGGUGAAUCGAUUAUAAAUGACUCCGAAGCAGGACCUGGAGACUAAAUUCCAGGAGGAUGACACAGAUUCACAUCAAGAUACAGAUGAUGUGCAGAGAAAACCCAUGCCCCCAAAGAGAUUACAGUCACUUCUCCAAACAGAUCCAGCGGGAAUAACCACAAAAGUCACUAAAACCACAUUAAGGGGUCACCUGGGACCCCUUAAUAGAACAGGACGAUAGCUCCAUGACUCCAACUAGGUAGGGUCUAUGAGUCCCGUGUCAGCAUUAAAGAAGUUACAGAAGACUGACCAUCUGUCCCUCAUCACCCCGAUAAAGAUUUCUUGGGGUUCACAUCUCAAGGAAAAUUUGAAGUAGGAGAUAGACGGUCCCUGGGCUGAAUAGCUGGUGAUUUUCAAACGGAGCAAAACUGAAGUUUGUCCUCAGCCAGACAAAAAUGACGUAUUUCCCUUCCUCCAUUGUUAGGAGGGAAUAAACUGACGGGGGAGUUGUUGCAGUGAAAAGGAAAAAAGAGGAAUGGGUUUUUCUUUUUCACUUCUCUGAAACCAAAGAAGAUAAAGAAGAACAGUGAGCAGGCCUGAACAUUCCUAGUUUAUUUUACUUUAACUGCUCCUGAUUCCAAAUGUCUGUAACUAAGUUUGCUUUUCUGCCCCCGAACUCUGCAGGAGCUACACUUGACUUGACUCCAUGCUAAGUACAUCCUCUGUCUGUAUCUGAUGUUUACAACAGCCUUCCCCUUGUAGUUACAUGUCAGAAAGAAGGCCUCAGAGCCACCAAACUGCCAGAUGCAGUUACUGGGUUACUGAUGUCAGUUUAUGACUGUCUUUGAAAUGAUGCAAGAGGAAGAAAUCAAAAUCCUAUCACCUUUGUUUCCUUAUCACCGACUCCUGACUGCUUCUGACUGUGAGCACCUGCUUUAGGGACACAGUUCUUGAGCCAGGAGCAUACUGUGUUCCCCUCUCCACUACCUGAGAAUAAAAGCCACUGUUCUAUUUCUUUCAAAUUCUGCCUUUCUAGUUUUCAUUCGGCUUCGGUGGGCAGAGAAGGCCAAAGUGUUGGCCAGCAACAGAAAGAAGUAAGUCAAGAGAAAGACAAAUACUGUAUUACUUACAGGUGGAAGCUGUAUAUUCAUACAGAUGAACUAACUUACAAAACAGGCUCAAAUGUAGGAAACCAGUUUAUGAUUAUAAGAAAAUGUUAGUGGGGAGGCAUCAAUUUAGAGUUUGAAAUUGACAUACAUACACACUAAUUCAUAUCAAAUAGAUGAUCAAAAACAGCCUAAAGAAUAGCCCUGGGAACUCUACUGAACACACUGUAAUCACCUAUAUGGGGGAAAAAAACCCGAACAAGAAUAGAUGUUUAUAGAUUACUGAAUCAAGUUUCUGUACACCUAAAACUGACACAACAUCAGAAAUCAACUCUACUCCAAUAUAAAGUAACAAAUUACAAGAAGAAAAAAGGGGCAUGAAGAAAUGCUGCCACCUUGUGGGCACUUUCCAAAACAACUUAAGCCUGUGCUGAUGGCCCACUUAAUACAGGGCCUUCCGGGCUGUGGUAAAAAACACCUGUGCCAGAAAUAUCCUAAGCAGGGUCAGCGGAAAAGAAUUCGAAGGCAGGUGGUCAAGGAGUCAAUGUCAAGAGGUAGAUUUAGCUCACACCAUUU
Molecule: long non-coding RNA, 2058 nt
Filed under: Cervus hanglu yarkandensis (Yarkand deer)
Lineage: Eukaryota; Metazoa; Chordata; Mammalia; Artiodactyla; Cervidae
Description: lncRNA (ENSCHYG00000008915.1)
Source: RNAcentral